AUGCUUCAAUAAGGUGCUGAAGGGUGAAGUGCAUUACCCGUGACGGCAAUAGUUCAAUACACAUUUGACAAGAUGAAUGCAUAAUUUUUAAAGUACUCAAUGGAGACGGAUAAGCAGAUUGUUGGUGAGAACAAGGAAAAGCACAAGUACAAUUUCCCACCAAAGGUUGAAGAAUGGUUGGAAUUUCAAUCAUGGAAGGCAGACUCCCAAGAGGCUAUACUAUGUGACGACAAUGAUUGGAUGUAUGAAGUGAAAGAGCCUAGAAGAACCACAAACAAUGGCCACCAACACGAAGGCCGGGUUUUCAAGGUCUCCCUAACACGGUGUGAUUGCACUUGCAUGAGGCCAUCGUUGCUUCAUCUCCCAUGCUGGCACUUGUUAAACGCAUCUCGUGUUAGGAACGUGGACGUCAAUCACCCUCUUAUUGUGCGGGAGUCCGAGUUCUCAAUCAUGACGGAAAAGAAUACAUGCCCCCCGUUUCAGCCAUACUUGGACCGAUCACAAUGGCCGGAGUAUCAUGGAGUUCAACUAUGGCCAAACCCAGAAUUGAAGGUCAUCAGAUGGGGAAGACGUAAGACACAGCGUCUUAGAGGUGACAUGGACAGAUGGGGCCGUGGUGGCGGUCAAGAAUCCGGCACCGGCCAAUUCCAAGAGCCUCGUGAGCAAUCCUGUUGUGGGGAGUGCAAUGGUGGGGGACACAACAUGAGAACUUGUAGCAAACCAAGAAAGAGAUCAAAGAAAAAUGAUGCAAGCUCAAGCCAAGCAAAUGGUAGCCAACCAAGUCAACCAAGUAGUAGCCAACCAAGCCAAACAAGUGCCCAAGUGCCAAACCAAUCAAAUAAACCAAGCCAACGAGGAACUAGGCAACAAAGAGGGAGUCAACUAGGUCCUAUAAGAGGCCUUGGUGGUGGUAGAGGCCGUGGUGAUGGUCUUGGCCGUGGUGGUGGUAGAGGCCGUGGUGAUGGUCCUGGCCAUGGUGAUGGUAGAGACCGUGGUGAUGGUCUUGGCUGUGGUGGUGGUAGAGGCUGUGGUGAUGGUAGAGUCCGUGGUGGUGGUCUAGGCCGCGGUGGCGGUUGCUUAGAAAGAGAGGUGUCGAUAAAAACAAAAAUACGGACAUAG
This 1119-nucleotide ribosomal RNA is filed under the name Triticum aestivum (bread wheat). RNAcentral describes it as "partial small subunit ribosomal RNA". The record is from RNAcentral. Lineage: Eukaryota; Viridiplantae; Streptophyta; Magnoliopsida; Poales; Poaceae.